RNAcentral lists this ribosomal RNA (448 nucleotides) under uncultured bacterium. RNAcentral's name for it is "bacterial SSU rRNA". It matches the Rfam family "Bacterial small subunit ribosomal RNA", at positions 355 to 825 of the family's 1533-position model. The record is from RNAcentral.
UCGGGAAUUUUGGGCAAUGGGCGGAAGCCUGACCCAGCAACGCCGCGUGAAGGAUGAAGUAUUUCGGUAUGUAAACUUCGAAAGAAUAGGAAGAAUAAAUGACGGUACUAUUUAUAAGGUCCGGCUAACUACGUGCCAGCAGCCGCGGUAAUACGUAGGGACCAAGCGUUGUUCGGAUUUACUGGGCGUAAAGGGCGCGUAGGCGGCAAUUCAAGUCAUCUGUGAAAUCUCCGGGCUUAACUCGGAACGGUCAGAUGAUACUGCUUUGCUAGAGUGCAGAAGGGGCAAUCGGAAUUCUUGGUGUAGCGGUGAAAUGCGUAGAUAUCAAGAGGAACACCUGAGGUGAAGACGGGUUGCUGGGCUGACACUGACGCUGAGGCGCGAAAGCCAGGGGAGCAAACGGGGAUUAGAUACCCAAGUAGUCCCUGAGCGGGCUGGCAAGGCGCAU